UACAGAGGGCCCAAGCGUUGUUCGGAUUCACUGGGCGUAAAGGGUGCGUAGGCGGUCGGGUAAGUCUGAUGUGAAAUCUCCGGGCUCAACCCGGAAAUGGCAUUGGAUACUAUUCGGCUCGAGGUCUGGAGGGGGGACUGGAAUACUUGGUGUAGCAGUGAAAUGCGUAGAUAUCAGGAGGAAUACCGAUGGCGAAGGCAGGUCUCUGGGCUGACACUGACGCUCAUGCACGAAAGCGUGGGGAGCAAACAGG
RNAcentral lists this ribosomal RNA (253 nucleotides) under uncultured bacterium. RNAcentral describes it as "partial 16S ribosomal RNA". It matches the Rfam family "Bacterial small subunit ribosomal RNA", at positions 524 to 776 of the family's 1533-position model. The record is from RNAcentral.